Molecule: ribosomal RNA, 477 nt
Filed under: Streptomyces sp. M10(2015)
Lineage: Bacteria; Bacillati; Actinomycetota; Actinomycetes; Kitasatosporales; Streptomycetaceae
Description: bacterial SSU rRNA
Rfam family: Bacterial small subunit ribosomal RNA
Source: RNAcentral
UNCAAGCCCCUGGAAACGGGGUCUAAUACCGGAUAACACUCUGUCCCGCAUGGGACGGGGUUAAAAGCUCCGGCGGUGAAGGAUGAGCCCGCGGCCUAUCAGCUUGUUGGUGGGGUAAUGGCCUACCAAGGCGACGACGGGUAGCCGGCCUGAGAGGGCGACCGGCCACACUGGGACUGAGACACGGCCCAGACUCCUACGGGAGGCAGCAGUGGGGAAUAUUGCACAAUGGGCGAAAGCCUGAUGCAGCGACGCCGCGUGAGGGAUGACGGCCUUCGGGUUGUAAACCUCUUUCAGCAGGGAAGAAGCGAAAGUGACGGUACCUGCAGAAGAAGCGCCGGCUAACUACGUGCCAGCAGCCGCGGUAAUACGUAGGGCGCAAGCGUUGUCCGGAAUUAUUGGGCGUAAAGAGCUCGUAGGCGGCUUGUCACGUCGGAUGUGAAAGCCCGGGGCUUAACCCCGGGUCUGCAUCGAUAC